GGGUCCGCACAAGCGGUGGAGCAUGUGGUUUAAUUCGAUGAUACGCGAGGAACCUUACCAGGACUUAAAUGUAAGUUGCAUGAUUCAGAAAUGAAUCUUUCUUCGGACUACUUACAAGGUGCUGCAUGGUUGUCGUCAGCUCGUGCCGUGAGGUGUCAGGUUAAGUCCUAUAACGCAGCGCAACCCCUAUCGUUAGUUGCCAUCAAGUAAAGUUGGGAACUCUAGCGAAACUGCCGGUGCAAACCGAGAGGAAGGUGGGGAUGACGUCAAAUCAUCACGGCCCUUACGUUCUGGGCUACACACGUGCUACAAUGGUCGGUACAGAAAGCAGCCACUACGCGAGUAGGCGCG
This 351-nucleotide ribosomal RNA is filed under the name uncultured bacterium. RNAcentral's name for it is "bacterial SSU rRNA". It matches the Rfam family "Bacterial small subunit ribosomal RNA", at positions 917 to 1269 of the family's 1533-position model. The record is from RNAcentral.